This 301-nucleotide ribosomal RNA is filed under the name uncultured bacterium. Its description in RNAcentral is "partial 16S ribosomal RNA". It matches the Rfam family "Bacterial small subunit ribosomal RNA", at positions 509 to 807 of the family's 1533-position model. The record is from RNAcentral.
CAGCAGCCGCGGGAAUACGGAGGGUGCAAGCGUUACUCGGAAUUACUGGGCGUAAAGCGUGCGUAGGUGGUGGUUUAAGUCCGUUGUGAAAGCCCUGGGCUCAACCUGGGAAUUGCAGUGGAUACUGGGUCACUAGAGUGUGGUAGAGGAUAGUGGAAUUUCCGGUGUAGCAGUGAAAUGCGUAGAGAUCGGAAGGAACAUCUGUGGCGAAGGCGACUAUCUGGGCCAACACUGACACUGAGGCACGAAAGCGUGGGGAGCAAACAGGAUUAGAUACCCCGGUAGUCCCUGUCUCUUAUAC